UACGAGGGGGGCAAGCGUUGUUCGGAAUUACUGGGCGUAAAGCGUGCGCAGGCGGCUGCUCAAGUCAGGGGUGAAAGCCCAGAGCUCAACUCUGGAAUUGCCUUUGAGACUGAGUGGCUUGAGUACGGGAGAGGUGAGUGGAACUGCGAGUGUAGAGGUGAAAUUCGUAGAUAUUCGCAAGAACACCAGUGGCGAAGGCGGCUCACUGGCCCGAUACUGACGCUGAGGCACGAAAGCGUGGGGAGCAAACAGG
This 253-nucleotide ribosomal RNA is filed under the name uncultured bacterium. Its description in RNAcentral is "partial 16S ribosomal RNA". It matches the Rfam family "Bacterial small subunit ribosomal RNA", at positions 524 to 776 of the family's 1533-position model. The record is from RNAcentral.